GUGCUUGCUUCGGCAGCACAUAUACUA
This 27-nucleotide small nuclear RNA is filed under the name Cervus elaphus hippelaphus. The record is from RNAcentral. Lineage: Eukaryota; Metazoa; Chordata; Mammalia; Artiodactyla; Cervidae.